This 378-nucleotide ribosomal RNA is filed under the name uncultured bacterium. Its description in RNAcentral is "bacterial SSU rRNA". It matches the Rfam family "Bacterial small subunit ribosomal RNA", at positions 49 to 458 of the family's 1533-position model. The record is from RNAcentral.
UAACACAUGCAAGUCGAACGAACCUUCGGGUUAGUGGCGGACGGGUGAGUAACGCGUGAGAAUCUGCCCUCAGGAGGGGGAUAACGGCUGGAAACGGCCGCUAAUACCCCAUAUGCCGCGAGGUGAAAUGAAUUUCGCCUGAGGAUGAGCUCGCGUCUGAUUAGCUAGUUGGUGUAGGUAAUGGCUCACCAAGGCAUCGAUCAGUAGCUGGUCUGAGAGGAUGAUCAGCCACACUGGGACUGAGACACGGCCCAGACUCCAACGGGAGGCAGCAGUGGGGAAUUUUCCGCAAUGGGCGAAAGGGUGACGGAGCAACGCCGCGUGAGGGAUGAAGGCCUCUGGGCUGUAAACCUCUUUUAUAAGGAAGAAGAUCUGACG